UACGUAGGUGGCAAGCGUUAUCCGGAAUUAUUGGGCGUAAAGCGCGCGUAGGCGGUCUGUUAAGUCGGAUGUGAAAGCCCACGGCUCAACCGUGGAGGGUCAUUGGAAACUGGGGAACUUGAGUACAGAAGAGGAGAGUGGAAUUCCACGUGUAGCGGUGAAAUGCGUAGAUAUGUGGAGGAACACCAGUGGCGAAGGCGACUCUCUGGUCUGUCACUGACGCUGAGGCGCGAAAGCGUGGGGAUCAAACAGG
Molecule: unclassified non-coding RNA, 253 nt
Filed under: uncultured Caryophanales bacterium
Lineage: Bacteria; Bacillati; Bacillota; Bacilli; Caryophanales
Description: uncultured Bacillales bacterium contains 16S-23S intergenic spacer region
Rfam family: Bacterial small subunit ribosomal RNA
Source: RNAcentral